Molecule: ribosomal RNA, 468 nt
Filed under: uncultured Anoxybacillus sp.
Lineage: Bacteria; Bacillati; Bacillota; Bacilli; Caryophanales; Anoxybacillaceae
Description: bacterial SSU rRNA
Rfam family: Bacterial small subunit ribosomal RNA
Source: RNAcentral
ACGGGGCCCGCACAAGCGGUGGAGCAUGUGGUUUAAUUCGAUGCAACGCGAAGAACCUUACCUGGUCUUGACAUCCACAGAACUUUCCAGAGAUGGAUUGGUGCCUUCGGGAACUGUGAGACAGGUGCUGCAUGGCUGUCGUCAGCUCGUGUCGUGAGAUGUUGGGUUAAGUCCCGCAACGAGCGCAACCCUCGACCUUAGUUGCCAGCAUUCAGUUGGGCACUCUAAGGUGACUGCCGGCUAAAAGUCGGAGGAAGGUGGGGAUGACGUCAAAUCAUCAUGCCCCUUAUGACCUGGGCUACACACGUGCUACAAUGGGCGGUACAAAGGGUCGCGAACCCGCGAGGGGGAGCCAAUCCCAAAAAGCCGCUCUCAGUUCGGAUUGCAGGCUGCAACUCGCCUGCAUGAAGCCGGAAUCGCUAGUAAUCGCGGAUCAGCAUGCCGCGGUCGAAUACGUUCCCGGGCCUU